GUAACUAGAUAAGAGCUAUUUGUCUGUACUGGGUUUGCUGGGUGUAUAAAGCCGUCAGUACAGGUUACUGCUGUGUGUGUGUGAGACAUGAGGUGUCUGGUGCUGUAACUAGAUAAGAGCUAUUUGUCUGUACUGGGUUUGCUGGGUGUAUAAAGCCGUCAGUACCGGUUACUGCUGUGUGUGUGACUGAGACAUGAGGUGUCUGGUGCUGUAACUAGAUAAGAACUAUUUGUCUGUACUGGGUUUGCUGGGUGUAUAAAGCCGUCAGUACCGGUUACUGCUGUGUGUGACUGAGACAUGAGGUGUCUGGUGCUGUAACUAGAUAAGAGCUAUUUGUCUGUACUGGGUUUGCUGGGUGUAUAAAGCCGUCAGUACCGGUUACUGCUGUGUGUGACUGAGACAUGAGGUGUCUGAUGCUGUAACUAGAUAAGAGCUAUUUGUCUGUACUGGGUUUGCUGGGUGUAUAAAGCCGUCAGUACCGGUUACUGCUGUGUGUGUGUGACUGAGACAUGAGGUGUCUGGUGCUGUAACUAGAUAAGAGCUAUUUGUCUGUACUGGGUUUGCUGGGUGUAUAAAGCCGUCAGUACAGGUUACUGCUGUGUGUGUGACUGAGACAUGAGGUGUCUGGUGCUGUAACUAGAUAAGAGCUAUUUGUCUGUACUGGGUUUGCUGGGUGUAUAAAGCCGUCAGUACCGGUUACUGCUGUGUGUGUGUGACUGAGACAUGAGGUGUCUGGUGCUGUAACUAGAUAAGAGCUAUUUGUCUGUACUGGGUUUGCUGGGUGUAUAAAGCCGUCAGUACAGGUUACUGCUGUGUGUGUGACUGAGACAUGAGGUGUCUGGUGCUGUAACUAGAUAAGAGCUAUUUGUCUGUACUGGGUUUGCUGGGUGUAUAAAGCCGUCAGUACCGGUUACUGCUGUGUGUGUGAGACAUGAGGUGUCUGGUGCUGUAACUAGAUAAGAGCUAUUUGUCUGUACUGGGUUUGCUGGGUGUAUAAAGCCGUCAGUACCGGUUACUGCUGUGUGUGACUGAGACAUGAGGUGUCUGGUGCUGUAACUAGAUAAGAGCUAUUUGUCUGUACUGGGUUUGCUGGGUGUGUAAAGCCGUCAGUACAGGUUACUGCUGUGUGUGACUGAGACAUGAGGGGUCUGGUGCUGUAACUAGAUAAGAGCUAUUUGUCUGUACUGGGUUUGCUGGGUGUAUAAAGCCGUCAGUACCGGUUACUGCUGUGUGUGUGAGACAUGAGGUGUCUGGUGCUGUAACUAGAUAAGAGCUAUUUGUCUGUACUGGGUUUGCUGGGUGUAUAAAGCCGUCAGUACCGGUUACUGCUGUGUGUGUGAGACAUGAGGUGUCUGGUGCUGUAACUAGAUAAGAGCUAUUUGUCUGUACUGGGUUUGCUGUGUGUAUAAAGCCGUCAGUACCGGUUACUGCUGUGUGUGACUGAGACAUGAGGUGUCUGGUGCUGUAACUAGAUAAGAGCUAUUUGUCUGUACUGGGUUUGCUGGGUGUAUAAAGCCGUCAGUACCGGUUACUGCUGUGUGUGUGUGUGUGAGACAUGAGGUGUCUGGUGCUGUAACUAGAUAAGAGCUAUUUGUCUGUACUGGGUUUGCUGGGUGUAUAAAGCCGUCAGUACCGGUUACUGCUGUGUGUGUGACUGAGACAUGAGGUGUCUGGUGCUGUAACUAGAUAAGAGCUAUUUGUCUGUACUGGGUUUGCUGGGUGUAUAAAGCCGUCAGUACCGGUUACUGCUGUGUGUGAGACAUGAGGUGUCUGGUGCUGUAACUAGAUAAGAGCUAUUUGUCUGUACUGGGUUUGCUGGGUGUAUAAAGCCGUCAGUACCGGUUACUGCUGUGUGUGUGACUGAGACAUGAGGUGUCUGGUGCUGUAACUAGAUAAGAGCUAUUUGUCUGUACUGGGUUUGCUGGGUGUAUAAAGCCGUCAGUACAGGUUACUGCUGUGUGUGACUGAGACAUGAGGUGUCUGGUGCUGUAACUAGAUAAGAGCUAUUUGUCUGUACUGGGUUUGCUGGGUGUAUAAAGCCGUCAGUACAGGUUACUGUGUGUGUGUGACUGAGACAUGAGGUGUCUGGUGCUGUAACUAGAUAAGAGCUAUUUGUCUGUACUGGGUUUGCUGGGUGUAUAAAGCCGUCAGUACAGGUUACUGCUGUGUGUGUGUGAGACAUGAGGUGUCUGGUGCUGUAACUAGAUAAGAGCUAUUUGUCUGUACUGGGUUUGCUGGGUGUAUAAAGCCGUCAGUACAGGUUACUGCUGUGUGUGUGUGAGACAUGAGGUGUCUGGUGCUGUAACUAGAUAAGAGCUAUUUGUCUGUACUGGGUUUGCUGGGUGUAUAAAGCCGUCAGUACCGGUUACUGCUGUGUGUGUGUGAGACAUGAGGUGUCUGGUGCUGUAACUAGAUAAGAGCUAUUUGUCUGUACUGGGUUUGCUGGGUGUAUAAAGCCGUCAGUACAGGUUACUGCUGUGUGUGUGUGUGUGAGACAUGAGGUGUCUGGUGCUGUAACUAGAUAAGAGCUAUUUGUCUGUACUGGGUUUGCUGGGUGUAUAAAGCCGUCAGUACCGGUUACUGCUGUGUGUGUGUGAGACAUGAGGUGUCUGGUGCUGUAACUAGAUAAGAGCUAUUUGUCUGUACUGGGUUUGCUGGGUGUAUAAAGCAGUCAGUACAGGUUACUGUGUGUGUGUGACUGAGACAUGAGGUGUCUGGUGCUGUAACUAGAUAAGAGCUAUUUGUCUGUACUGGGUUUGCUGGGUGUAUAAAGCCGUCAGUACCGGUUACUGCUGUGUGUGUGUGAGACAUGAGGUGUCUGGUGCUGUAACUAGAUAAGAGCUAUUUGUCUGUACUGGGUUUGCUGGGUGUAUAAAGCCGUCAGUACCGGUUACUGCUGUGUGUGUGACUGAGACAUGAGGUGUCUGGUGCUGUAACUAGAUAAGAGCUAUUUGUCUGUACUGGGUCUGCUGGGUGUAUAAAGCCGUCAGUACCGGUUACUGCUGUGUGUGUGACUGAGACAUGAGAUGUCUGGUGCUGUAACUAGAUAAGAGCUAUUUGUCUGUACUGGGUUUGCUGGGUGUAUAAAGCCGUCAGUACCGGUUACUGCUGUGUGUGACUGAGACAUGAGGUGUCUGGUGCUGUAACUAGAUAAGAGCUAUUUGUCUGUACUGGGUUUGCUGGGUGUAUAAAGCCGUCAGUACAGGUUACUGCUGUGUGUGUGACUGAGACAUGAGGUGUCUGGUGCUGUAACUAGAUAAGAGCUAUUUGUCUGUACUGGGUUUGCUGGGUGUAUAAAGCCGUCAGUACAGGUUACUGCUGUGUGUGACUGAGACAUGAGGUAUCUGGUGCUGUAACUAGAUAAGAGCUAUUUGUCUGUACUGGGUUUGCUGGGUGUAUAAAGUACAGGUUCCUACUUUGCUGUAAUGUCUGGUUAAGAAGCAAGGGCUGGGAGUCUGUUAUGCAGUGAGAUGUAUGAGGUCACUAUGUAGAGCUCCAGAGGUUUGUGCAGUCUCUGUGCUGGUGCAACUUGGUACAGGCCAUGAGAGCUAAUGUUCAGGGAGUAAACACCUGGUCAAGGUGUUUGCUAAUAAAGCGAAGACAUCCGGGGCUACGGGAGAUCUGAUGGAGAUGCUGUGAAUGGUCAGUUAAUGGGUAUUAAGCGCUACACCUUCCUAUCUCACCAUUUGUCCAGCUUAUGACAUCAUCUACAUUAGGGGGCACUCCUUUCCAGAGCUCGCCAUUCUUUGGGUAUCCUGAGUCUGGUCUUCCAGUCUUCUCAUCUAAUCUCCAAAACUGAUUGUUGCGGAAGAAAUACGUUUUCUUGUUUCCUGGCCAAACAAAAGCACCAUCUAUGCUAUCGGUAUUCAGUCCAAAAUCUGUAAGUGCUCGUGGGUAUCCCGGCUCCACCAGGGUGUCUUUAAACACCCAAUACCGACUCCCUGAAGGUGACAAAGAAAUCAAUGAAGUGUGCUAGAAUUUUUUUUUUUAAGGAACACUGAACCCAACAUUUUUUUUUCGUGAUUCAGAUAGACCAUGAAAUUUUAAGCAACUUUCUAAUUUACUCUUAUCAAAUUUUCUUCAUUCUCUUGGUAUCUUUAUUUGAAAUGCAAGAAUGUAAUUUUAUAUGCCGGCCCAUUUGCGGUGAACAACCUGGGUUGUCCUUGCUGAUUGGUGAAUAAAUUCAUCCACCAAUAAAAAUGUGCUGUCCAGAGUUCUGAACCACAAAAACUUAGAUGCCUUCUUUUUCAAAUAAAGAUAGCAAGAGAACGAAGAAAAAUUGAUAAUAGGUGUAAAUUAGAAAGUUGCUUUAAAUUGCCUGCUCUGUCUGAAUCAUGAAAGAAAAUAUUUGGGUUCAGUGUCCCUUUAAGGAUUUAGCAAAUGUGCUUUCUUCUGCAGAUAUUGUGAAGGGGCACAAGGAUGAUAUUUAAUUUAGGCGUGCCGCUGCCUGCAACCAUAUUUGUCAUUCGUUUCUACAAUGAAUGCCGAAUGUGACAAAAUGAACACGCCUAGCGCAGGGCCGGAUUUACAUCUCAGAGCAUUUUAAUAUUGCACUAGUGCUUGCACAGAAGUGUGUUAGCCUCUUGCAAAAGAGUUAAACACAUAGUCAAUGUCAGUUCUGAGACAGCAAUACACAUCUGUGCAGACCCAGAUGGGCUCAUAGGACAUGUUUAUUGACAAGCCAUUAGUGUAUUGCUUUUCUGGAGAUGACUUUGACUAUGUGCUUAACAUUUUGUUGGAGUUAAACACAGUUUUGUGUAAACAAUAGCAAUAUUAAAACUAGCAGCAUGCAAGCUCAUCAACAACAUGUGCAGCCAGUGGAAGAAAACCUAAAAUGUAGGUAUUUUUUCCACUACAUGAAAAAAAUCUUGUGAACUCUGAUAUUUUUGGUACAAAUACACACAGAUGUUACAUUUAUUUAGUUCUGAAAUAUAGAUAUAAUAUGAUGUUGCUCUCAAAGGAAAACAUGGAAUGUUGUAGAUUAUAUGUAAUCCAGGGGUCAACAAAUGUGUUUAAAAUUAGAAAUUCAAUUUACCACAAUACAAAAAUACCACACUUACUUGAUAAAAGAACAGAUGAACAAUUUUUUAUGUGAUGUGUGUGUACGUGUGUAUAUAUAUAUAUAUAUAUAUAUAUAUAUACACAUACAUACAUACAUACAAACAAAUAUGCCAUGUGAGUGGUUUACACACAUACACAUUUUACAGCCUUACAGUCUACAAAUUUUGUUGUCAAAGUGCCCUAAAGGCUGUAAAAUUUGUAAAUCACAAUUGGUAGCUUGUAAUAAAGAGCAGAGCAGCUAGUCCCACAUAACCUCCUCACCUCCAAGGCCUUUAUAGAACAAAAACAUUCAUCCUGAAGCAGAAUUUAACCCCCUGGCUAUAAAAAUGCACUACAGCAUAUAACAAGUGAAUACACUGCAACCCUCUCUGGUAGCCAAGGGGUUAAAGUGCUCUGCUUGUUAUGUUGUCAUUCUAGGCAGCAUUAGAAGCCUUGUACAGUCCUAACCUGUUGUUCUGAAGCUUUCAUUCCUCAACAAAAAGUGUCUGCUACACAUCAGCAUGGAGCUUGGCUGUGUGAGGCAACAGAAGUACAUAAAAUAAAAGUGAAACUAAACAUGCCUGGCGAAAAUGGGAGGGGUUUAGUUUUAAUAUUUGCCCCUCUCUCCUUCAUGGCUCCCUCAACUGCUGUAACAUAUUCCCAAUAAACACUCGACUCUGUAA
Long non-coding RNA from Bombina bombina (fire-bellied toad), 5723 nucleotides. RefSeq lists it as uncharacterized. The record is from RefSeq and is a predicted model, not a curated record. The transcript is spliced from 2 exons. NCBI's taxonomy places the organism in Eukaryota, Metazoa, Chordata, Amphibia, Anura, Bombinatoridae.